Molecule: long non-coding RNA, 1044 nt
Filed under: Oncorhynchus kisutch (coho salmon)
Lineage: Eukaryota; Metazoa; Chordata; Actinopteri; Salmoniformes; Salmonidae
Description: lncRNA (ENSOKIG00005050041.1)
Source: RNAcentral
AUGGCUAUGCCAGGUAGGAGACCUGUGCAAACUCCCUGUGGUUACCGGGGGGCAAGAGAGACCGGGCAGGCACCGUGUUAUGCGGUGGAGCGCACGGUGUCCCCAGUGCGGGUGCACAGCCCGGUGCGGUACAUUCCAGCUCCGCGUAUCGGCCGGGCUAGAGUGGGCAUCGAGCCAAGUGCCAUGAAGCCGGCUCUACGCAUCUGGUCUCCAGUGCGUCUCCUUGGGCCGGCUUACAUGGCACCAACCUUGCGCACGGUGUCCCCGGUUCGCCUACAUAGCCCAGUGCGGGCUAUUCCACCUCGCCGCACUGGCAGGGCGACCGGGACCAUUCAACCGGGUAAGGUUGGGCAGGCUCGGUGCUCAAGAGCUCCAGUGCGCCUGCACGGCCCGGUCUAUCCGUCACCACCUCCACGCACCAGCCCUCCGGUGGCAGCCCCCCGCACCAGGCUGUCUCUCCGGCCCAUCCUUACAGGGGCUCCCUCCUCUCCAGCGCUGCCGGAGUCUCCCGCCUGUCCGGCGCCGCUGCCGGAGUCUCCCGCCUGUCCGGCGCCGCUGCCGGAGUCUCCCGCCUGUCCGGCGCCGCUGCCGGAGUCUCCCGCCUGUCCGGCGCCGCUGCCGGAGUCUCCCGCCUGUCCGGCGCCGCUGCCGGAGUCUCCCGCCUGUCCGGCGCCGCUGCCGGAGUCUCCCGCCUGUCCGGCGCCGCUGCCGGAGUCUCCCGCCUGUCCGGCGCCGCUGCCGGAGUCUGAGGCGCCAGAGCCCCUCAGCCCAGAGGCGCCAGAGCUUCUGCCCCUCUGUCCAGAGCUUCUGCCCCUCUGUCCAGAGCUUCUGCCCCUCUGUCCAGAGCUUCCGCCCCUCUGUCCAGAGCUGCCCCUCUGUCCCGAGCUGCCCCUCUGUCCAGUGGGGUCAUUGAGAGGGGUGGCCAUGGUGAGAAAGCCACGGAGGCGGACAAUAAGGCGGACUAAGACAAUGGUGAAGUGGGGUCCGCGUCCUGCGCCAGAGCCGCCACCGCGGACAGAUGCCCACCCAGACCCUCCCCUAUAG